RNAcentral lists this ribosomal RNA (494 nucleotides) under uncultured bacterium. RNAcentral's name for it is "bacterial SSU rRNA". It matches the Rfam family "Bacterial small subunit ribosomal RNA", at positions 34 to 518 of the family's 1533-position model. The record is from RNAcentral.
CGCUGGCGGCGCGUUUAAGCAUGCAAGUCGAGCGGCAAGGGCCUUCGGGCCCCUAGAGCGGCGGACGGGUGAGUAACACGUGGACAAUCUGCCCCCCGGCCCGGGAUAGCCCAGGGAAACCUGGAUUAAUACCGGGAUGAGACGGGACCUGCGAUGGCGGGAUCCGGGAAAGGCGCUACGGCGCCGCCGGGGGAUGAGUCUGCGUCCCAUUAGCUAGACGGCGGGGUAACGGCCCACCGUGGCGACGAUGGGUAGCCGGCCUGAGAGGGUGGACGGCCACAUUGGAACUGAGACACGGUCCAGACUCCUACGGGAGGCAGCAGCUAAGAAUCUUCCGCAAUGGGCGAAAGCCUGACGGAGCGACGCCGCGUGAACGAAGAAGGCCGUGAGGUUGUAAAGUUCUUUUCGGGAGGGGGAACAACCGUGGCAGGGAAUGGCCGCGGGAUGACGUGAAUCCCGGAAUAAGCCCCGGCUAACUACGUGCCAGCAGCUGC